AGCGAACGCUGGCGGUAUGCUUAACACAUGCAAGUCGAGCGAGAAAAUGGCUUCGGCCAUGAGUACAGCGGCGGACGGGUGAGUAAUACAUGGAUAAUCUGCCUUUAGGACCGGGACAACCCAGGGAAACUUGGGCUAAUACCGGAUAAGACCACAGAAUCUCCGGAUUCAGUGGUAAAAGAUGGCUUCGGCUAUCACCUAUAGAUGAGUCCAUGUCCCAUCAGGUAGUUGGUGAGGUAACGGCCCACCAAGCCGAAGACGGGUAGCCGACCUUAGCGGGUGAUCGGCCACACGGGGACUGAGACACGGCCCCGACUCCUACGGGAGGCAGCAGUGGGGAAUAUUGGACAAUGGGCGCAAGCCUGAUCCAGCAAUACCGCGUGAGGGAUGAAGGCUUUCGAGUCGUAAACCUCUGUCAGUUGGAACGAUGGGUCUGUAGGUUAAUACCCUGCAGACUUGACGGUACCUUCAAAGGAAGCCCCGGCUAACUCCGUG
This 495-nucleotide ribosomal RNA is filed under the name uncultured bacterium. RNAcentral describes it as "bacterial SSU rRNA". It matches the Rfam family "Bacterial small subunit ribosomal RNA", at positions 29 to 507 of the family's 1533-position model. The record is from RNAcentral.